Canis lupus familiaris (dog) is the source of this 1592-nucleotide long non-coding RNA. RefSeq lists it as uncharacterized. The record is from RefSeq and is a predicted model, not a curated record. NCBI's taxonomy places the organism in Eukaryota, Metazoa, Chordata, Mammalia, Carnivora, Canidae. The transcript is spliced from 2 exons.
UGGAGGGGGCGGGGCCUGGGGCGGCAGAUUCCCAGGGGCGGCCACGGGGGUGUCUCCGUCCUUCCGAGGCUCCCACGCCUCUAGGGGGAGCGUGGCCUUGGCUUUCCGAGCCUCGGCUUUGGAGCGACGAGGCGGAGUCUGCGCCUUGGGAAAUCGCGAUCCAGACUGAGGGGGCGUGACCUCUGAGCCAGUGCCGGGCUCAAAGAUGAACACAUGAGAGUAAGCCCUGGGGCUUUGCAUGGAACUACUAGGAAAUCCUCCUCUUUCCACUGAAGUACCUAUGUAAAUUAGAAGCCUAGAGUGACUGGGGCCAUCUUCGCUACCUCAAGGGGAAGCCUGCCUGAGACUGAGCCCAACAAAGAGGAGCAGAGAGCCAAGAGAGUCGAGUUGCUCCUGGUACUGUACAAACACCUGGAUCUAGCCAUGCCUGAAAGCAUAUACAUUGGGAUUUCUUGAUUGCAUUAGCCAGCAAAUCCUCCUUUUAUCUUUAAGCUUCCUUGAAUUGGGGAUUGACUCUAAUUCUAUGCCAGGGGUAGUGCUCUCAGUUCAGGUACAUAGAGAAGGAAGUGGAUGAGGAUGUCACCUGCUUCAUUUCCUGAAGGGGGGCCACAGCCUUAGCCCGAGAGGCGCUGACCACCUUGGCAAGAGUUGGGACUGCUGUGUUGGGUCUUCCUUCUGGUUCACUGGCUCCUGCCGAGAAGCCCCAGUUGAUUUUGGAGGGGGGCCACGAGGAACCUCUGCUGGGGGCAUUGAUCAGGAGAGGUUUAGGCCUACAGUGGAUGGGACCGUAGCAGGUACCUGCUGCAAGCUGACUGCUGGGGUCUGGAGAUUCAGGCCGGAGCCACCAAAAGUCAGCUGCGGUUGGGCCUGCAGGCUGGCGUUCCUCUCGGCUUGUAGGCUGAGCCUGGCGAAACCGGUUUAUGUACCUGCGAGCAUCAGAGAAGGGGAGGUGGGUGAAUGAGGAGAGCCAAAGAAUAGUAAUAAUGACAAUAACAAUCACAACAGCUGAUGUUUAUCAGUUACCUUGGCAAUACCUAGCCCCUCAGCAUCCUCUCAUACACAGUAAUGCAAUAUUAUGUAAGACUAUAUGAUACGGGGCACAUAGCCACUCUUCUACAGAUUAUAUUUAAUUUUAUCAGGGGUCCCUAUAGUUUUAUGGCUAUGUAACUAGGUUCUUGACCAACAGGGUUUUGUUUUGUUUUUAAAUAUUUAAUUAAUUUAUUUAUGAGACAGAGAGAGAGAGGCAGAGACACAUGCAGAGGGAGAAGCAGGCUCCCCAUGGGAAGCCCAAUGCGGGACUCGAUCCCAGGACCCUGGGAUCAUGCCCUGAGCCAAAGGCAGAUGCUCAACUGCUGAGCAACCCAGGCAUCUCAACCAAUAGGGUUAUGAGAUGAGGAAAUGUGAUUCUGGAUAGUGGAUGUGGUUGGGAGCCAUUCUGGUCCAUAAAGGAAAGGGCAAGAGCCUGGUGAUGGGAGGCAGCACGACAGAAGGAAACUGUCCCUGAUCCUAGCUGGGGGUUGCCACAGCAGCCCUGGUUGCUUCUGCCUGGACUGUUGAGUGAGGGAGAAAUAAAUGCUGUCUUUCUUACGCCA